GAUGAACGCUGGCGGCGUGCCUAAUACAUGCAAGUCGAGCGAACAGACGAGGAGCUUGCUCCUUUGACGUUAGCGGCGGACGGGUGAGUAACACGUGGGUAACCUACCUAUAAGACUGGGAUAACUUCGGGAAACCGGAGCUAAUACCGGAUAAUAUUUCGAACCGCAUGGUUCGAUAGUGAAAGAUGGCUUUGCUAUCACUUAUAGAUGGACCUGCGCCGUAUUAGCUAGUUGGUAAGGUAACGGCUUACCAAGGCAACGAUACGUAGCCGACCUGAGAGGGUGAUCGGCCACACUGGAAGUGAGACACGGUCCAGACUCCUACGGGAGGCAGCAGUAGGGAAUCUACCGCAAUGGGCGAAAGCCUGACGGAACAACGCCGCGUGAGUGAUGAAGGUCUUCGGAUCGUAAAACUCUGUUAUUAGGGAAGAACAAACGUGUAAGUAACUGUGCACGUCUUGACGGUACCUAAUCAGAAAGCCACGGCUAACUACGUG
RNAcentral lists this ribosomal RNA (497 nucleotides) under uncultured bacterium. Its description in RNAcentral is "partial 16S ribosomal RNA". It matches the Rfam family "Bacterial small subunit ribosomal RNA", at positions 28 to 507 of the family's 1533-position model. The record is from RNAcentral.